Molecule: unclassified non-coding RNA, 376 nt
Filed under: soil metagenome
Description: partial contains 5.8S ribosomal RNA, internal transcribed spacer 2, and large subunit ribosomal RNA
Rfam family: 5.8S ribosomal RNA (bases 1-120)
Source: RNAcentral
GAUGAAGAACGCAGUGAAAUGCGAUAAGUAGUGUGAAUUGCAGAAUUCCGUGAAUCAUCGAAUCUUUGAACGCAUCUUGCGCUCCUUGGUAUUCUGAGGAGCAUGCCUGUUUGAGUGUCAUUAAAUUCUCAACUACACUGACUUUGAAUUGGUGUGGCUUGGAUUUGGGGGGAAAAUUGUUGUGGGCUUUUUGUAUAGUCUGCUCCCCUGAAAUUGAUUAGCGGUACCUUUGUGGAACUGUCUACAGGUGUGAUAAUUAUCUACAUCUUAGACAUCUGCUGGAAUGCUGCUUUCUAAACCUUACUUGUAUUGACAAUCUUGACCUCAAAUCAGGUAGGACUACCCGCUGAACUUAAGCAUAUCAAUAAGCGGAGGA